RNAcentral lists this ribosomal RNA (299 nucleotides) under Boophis luciae. RNAcentral's name for it is "partial 16S ribosomal RNA". It matches the Rfam family "Bacterial large subunit ribosomal RNA", at positions 2222 to 2582 of the family's 2925-position model. Lineage: Eukaryota; Metazoa; Chordata; Amphibia; Anura; Mantellidae. The record is from RNAcentral.
CUAUCUAUUUUAUUCCCCCAUAUUUAUACGGUUAUGUUUGUUUGGUUUUAGGUUGGGGUGACCGCGGAGUAUAAAACAACCUCCACGAAGAAAAGACUAAUAAUCUUUAUCAGAGAAAGACAUUUCUAAGAAAUAAUAUAUUAACUUUAAAUGAUCCGAUAUUCGAUUAACGAAUCAAGUUACCCUGGGGAUAACAGCGCAAUCCACCUUAAGAGCCCUUAUCGACAGGUGGGUUUACGACCUCGAUGUUGGAUCAGGGUAUCACAGUGGUGCAGCAGCUACUAAUGGUUCGUUUGUUC